This 404-nucleotide ribosomal RNA is filed under the name uncultured bacterium. RNAcentral describes it as "bacterial SSU rRNA". It matches the Rfam family "Bacterial small subunit ribosomal RNA", at positions 355 to 776 of the family's 1533-position model. The record is from RNAcentral.
UGGGGAAUAUUGGACAAUGGGGGAAACCCUGAUCCAGCGAUGCCGCGUGAAUGAUGAAGGCCUUCGGGUUGUAAAAUUCUUUCGCCUGUGAAGAUAAUGACGGUAACAGGAUAAGAAGCUCCGGCUAACUCCGUGCCAGCAGCCGCGGUAAGACGGAGGGAGCUAGCGUUGUUCGGAAUGACUGGGCGUAAAGGGUGCGUAGGCGGCUCUUUAAGUAAGGCGUGAAAUCCCCGGGCUUAACCUGGGAACUGCGUUUUAAACUAGAGGGCUAGAGGAUGGAAGAGGAAAGCGGAAUUCCUAGUGUAGGGGUGAAAUCCGUAGAUAUUAGGAAGAACACCAGAGGCGAAGGCGGCUUUCUGGUCCAUCACUGACGCUGAGGCACGAUAGCGUGGGGAGCGAAAAGG